This 419-nucleotide ribosomal RNA is filed under the name uncultured bacterium. RNAcentral's name for it is "bacterial SSU rRNA". It matches the Rfam family "Bacterial small subunit ribosomal RNA", at positions 355 to 787 of the family's 1533-position model. The record is from RNAcentral.
UGGGGAAUAUUGCACAAUGGGGGAAACCCUGAUGCAGCAACGCCGCGUGAGGGAAGAAGGUUUUCGGAUCGUAAACUUCUAUCAACAGGGACGAAACAAAUGACGGUACCUGAAUAAGAAGCCCCGGCUAACUACGUGCCAGCAGCCGCGGUAAUACGUAGGGGGCAAGCGUCAUCCGGAAUUACUGGGUGUAAAGGGAGCGUAGGCGGCACGUCAAGCCAGAUGUGAAAGCCCGGGGCUUAACCCCGUGGAUUGCAUUUGGAACUGGCGAGCUAGAGUACAGGAGAGGAAAGCGGAAUUCCUAGUGUAGCGGUGAAAUGCGUAGAUAUUAGGAAGAACACCAGUGGCGAAGGCGGCUUUCUGGACUGAAACUGACGCUGAGGCUCGAAAGCGUGGGGAGCAAACAGGAUUAGAUACCC